GCCUUCCUGACAACUCUGUUGAGAUAGGAAGGGCAAAUAUUAGCAGCCCUGCUUUACAAAUGAAGAAAUCAAGGCAGAGAAAGAGUAAAUGACUUACCUACAGGACCCAGCUAAGAAAGCUCUCCUCAGUGGUAUACUUUCGUGGAAAAAUUUAUGAAACCACUCUUCUUCAUCCUCUCACCUAAGGAUGGAUGUUUAUUUACCCGGGACAAAUAGAAUCUUUCUAAGACUUUCAAACUGAAUACAGCAGAACAACAGAGAAGUUUGCAGGGUAUAUUGGACCUGAAACAGACCUCAAAUAUUUUCCUAAGCAAAGAACAGUACUAUUUUCAGAUGAUGGAAAUCGUUUGUAAACACCACAUUUUUGCUCCUGUGAAAAUCAGAGGCAAGAUGCCCAAAUCCACCAUCCAAGCGAAACUGGCACCAAACCAGCAUCGCUUUGGGCGCAGAGAUUCUCACAUACCUUGUCUACACCAACAGAUUGGGCAGUGUCACAUUUAGCUUUGUGAGACCAGCAGGAUGCUGAAAAUACUUCCUCUGCUGCAAUUUGGCAAUGUUUAAUGAUAGAGGAGCACAGAGGUAAAGUCACAGAUACACAUCAAAGGAUAUUCCCCCAAAUACCAAGACAAUGAAUAUCCCUUUAACAGACAAAAGAAUAUUUUCAUACUCCAGACAGUAACAUUUAUCUGAGGCAACCACUGAUGCAAACAUAUUCAAAGAUAAUAAAGCCAUUUGAAUGGAA
Trichosurus vulpecula (common brushtail) is the source of this 742-nucleotide long non-coding RNA. RefSeq lists it as uncharacterized. The transcript is spliced from 3 exons. Lineage: Eukaryota; Metazoa; Chordata; Mammalia; Diprotodontia; Phalangeridae. The record is from RefSeq and is a predicted model, not a curated record.